GACUGCGUAGCUCAGUUGGAAGAGCAUUGGGCUAGUAUUCCAAAGGUCGUAGGUUCGAAUCCUACCGUGGCCG
This 73-nucleotide transfer RNA is filed under the name Paramuricea clavata. It matches the Rfam family "tRNA". Rfam says of the family: Transfer RNA (tRNA) molecules are approximately 80 nucleotides in length. Their secondary structure includes four short double-helical elements and three loops (D, anti-codon, and T loops). The record is from Rfam by way of RNAcentral. Lineage: Eukaryota; Metazoa; Cnidaria; Anthozoa; Malacalcyonacea; Plexauridae.